This 253-nucleotide ribosomal RNA is filed under the name uncultured bacterium. RNAcentral describes it as "partial 16S ribosomal RNA". It matches the Rfam family "Bacterial small subunit ribosomal RNA", at positions 524 to 776 of the family's 1533-position model. The record is from RNAcentral.
UACGUAGGUGGCAAGCGUUAUCCGGAAUUAUUGGGCGUAAAGCGCGCGCAGGUGGUUUCUUAAGUCUGAUGUGAGAGCCCACGGCUCAACCGUGGAGGGUCAUUGGAAACUGGGAGACUUGAGUGCAGAAGAGGAAAGUGGAAUUCCAUGUGUAGCGGUGAAAUGCGUAGAUAUCUGGAGGAACACCGGUGGCGAAGGCGGCAUCCUGGACCAACACUGACACUGAUGAGCGAAAGCCAGGGGAGCAAACGGG